This 365-nucleotide ribosomal RNA is filed under the name uncultured eukaryote. Its description in RNAcentral is "partial 18S ribosomal RNA". It matches the Rfam family "Eukaryotic small subunit ribosomal RNA", at positions 592 to 976 of the family's 1831-position model. The record is from RNAcentral.
CAAUAGCGUAUAUUUAAGUUGUUGCAGUUAAAAAGCUCGUAGUCGGAUUUUGGCUGAGAACGAACGGUCCGCCGUUAGGUGUGCACUGAUUGGUCUCAGCUUCCUGGUGAGGAGGUGUGCUUCACGGCCACUUAGUCACCGUGGUUACUUUGAAAAAAUUAGAGUGUUCAAAGCGGGCUUACGCUUGAAUAUAUUAGCAUGGAAUAACACCAUAGGACUCCUGUCCUAUUUCGUUGGUCUCGGGACGGGAGUAAUGAUUAAGAGGAACAGUUGGGGGCAUUCGUAUUUCAUUGUCAGAGGUGAAAUUCUUGGAUUUAUGAAAGACGAACUUCUGCGAAAGCAUUUGCCAAGGAUGUUUUCAUUGA